RNAcentral lists this ribosomal RNA (406 nucleotides) under uncultured bacterium. RNAcentral describes it as "bacterial SSU rRNA". It matches the Rfam family "Bacterial small subunit ribosomal RNA", at positions 355 to 775 of the family's 1533-position model. The record is from RNAcentral.
UGGGGAAUAUUGGGCAAUGGGCGGAAGCCUGACCCAGCGACGCCGCGUGGGGGAAGAAGUCUUUCGGGACGUAAACCCAUGUUGUACGGGACGAAGGAAGUGACGGUACCGUACGAGGAAGCCCCGGCAAACUACGUGCCAGCAGCCGCGGUAAUACGUAGGGGGCGAGCGUUGUCCGGAAUCACUGGGCGUAAAGCGCACGUAGGCGGGCUGUUAAGUCGGCCGUGAAAGGCACGGGCUCAACCGGUGCAUGUCGGACAAAACUGCCGGACUUGAGGCUGAGAGAGGAGAGCGGAAUUCCCGGUGUAGUGGUGGAAUGCGUAGAUAUCGGGAGGAACACCAGUGGCGAAGGCGGCUCUCUGGCUCAGAACUGACGCUGAGGUGCGAAAGCGUGGGGAGCGAACGG